UACGUAGGUGGCAAGCGUUGUCCGGAUUUACUGGGUGUAAAGGGCGUGCAGCCGGGCUUGCAAGUCAGAUGUGAAAUGCACGGGCUUAACCCGUGAGCUGCAUUCGAAACUGUAGGUCUUGAGUACCGGAGGGGCAAUCGGAAUUCCUAGUGUAGCGGUGAAAUGCGUAGAUAUUAGGAGGAACACCAGUGGCGAAGGCGGAUUGCUGGACGGCAACUGACGGUGAGGCGCGAAAGUGUGGGGAGCAAAC
This 250-nucleotide ribosomal RNA is filed under the name uncultured prokaryote. Its description in RNAcentral is "partial 16S ribosomal RNA". It matches the Rfam family "Bacterial small subunit ribosomal RNA", at positions 524 to 773 of the family's 1533-position model. The record is from RNAcentral.